Molecule: long non-coding RNA, 368 nt
Filed under: Brassica napus (rape)
Lineage: Eukaryota; Viridiplantae; Streptophyta; Magnoliopsida; Brassicales; Brassicaceae
Description: long non-coding RNA (BNAP_LNC010311)
Source: RNAcentral
AUAACUCCUAAGCAGUCUUACAUGCGGGACACAUGGAGACUCUCGAAGAUGCCUUCGAGAAUCAGACCAUCAACAAGUCCAAGCCAAUCCCUCUGACCCCAGUGGAGCGCCUCUUAUUUAAAUGUUUUUGCAAUAUGUGUUUUGAGUUUUCAAGUUGACCCCCUUUUUUUUUGCCUUAUUUUGUGUGUACUUUGGCUUUAUAAAACCUUUAAAUCGGUUCAGUUUAAGAAAUGUCAAACACAUCAUACGUUUUUUUUUCUUUUAUUUAAAUGUUUUCUUUCAAGUUGACCCCCUUUUUUUUUUUUGCCUUAUUUUGUGUGUACUUUGGCUUUAUAAAACCUUUAAAUCGGUUCAGUUUAAGAAAUGUC